Long non-coding RNA from Ictalurus punctatus (channel catfish), 976 nucleotides. The record is from Ensembl. NCBI's taxonomy places the organism in Eukaryota, Metazoa, Chordata, Actinopteri, Siluriformes, Ictaluridae.
CCCAACUCUCAGCGGCGUACUCUUCCCAACGAGGAUCUUGACCUGACGCCGUGUCUUGGUGGGAAAAACAGAUUCGUUACGUCGCCGCGACGCUGUUCCUAACACUCGCGCACGUCGGAUAGAUUUACGCGCGUUUUCAUACUCGAGGAAAAGUGGACCGGAGUCGGGUUCCGGCGAGAUCGUACACACGUCGGAGCAAGGACACGGGUUUAAAAAGAAAGUGGGUGUGACAGAUCGAAACAGAAGGAUGGAAGAGGAUGGAAAGAAGUAGAGAUAGAGAGAUGGAAGAAGGUAGGAAGAACUGACGGGAAGAGAGAAGGAACGAUGGAUAAAAAGAAAGGAAGAAGGGCAGAUGUACAAAAUGAAGAACGGAAGGAUGAGGAAAAGGAGGACUGGAAUACGGAGGCAGGACGGACGAAGUGGGGGGUGGGGGUGGGUGGGGGGGGACGGAUGGAAGGAAGGACACAAAAGGAAGAGUGGGAAAAGAAAGAAAACGAUGGAAGGAGCGCCAGGAAGAAGGGAGAUCAAAAGCGUGAAUGAGUGGAAUGGAGCGAGGGGAAUAAAGAAGGAAGGAAGGAAGAAAAAGGAAAUAAGGAAGGAAGGAGGGAAGGAAAGAAGGCGAGAAGGAAGGAAGGAAGGAAGGAAGGAAGGAAAGAAGGAAGGAAGGAAAGAAGGAAGGAAGGAAGGAAGGAAGGAAAGAAAGGAAGGAAGGAAAGAAGGAAAGAAGGGCGAGAAGGAAGGAAGGAAGGAAGGAAGGAAAGAAGGAAAGAAGGAAAGAAGGAAGGAAGGAAAGAAGGAAGGAAAGAAGGAAAGAAGGAAGGAAGGAAAGAAGGAAGGAAAGAAGGAAGGAAGGAAAGAAGGAAGGAAAGAAGGAAGGAAGGAAGGAAGGAAAGAAGGAAGGAAGGAAGGAAAGAAGGAAGGAAGGAAAGAAGGAAGGAAAGAAGGAAGGAAAGAAGGCGAGAAGGAAGGAAGGAAG